CCUACGGGAGGCAGCAGUAGGGAAUCUUUCACAAUGGGCGAAAGCCUGAUGGAGCAACGCCGCGUGCUGGAUGAAGGCCUUCGGGUUGUAAACUGCUUUUAUCAGCGAGAAAUAUGAUGGUAACUUAUGAAUAAGGAUCGGCUAACUACGUGCCAGCAGCCGCGGUCAUACGUAGGAGCCGAGCAUUAUCCGGAGUGACUGGGUGUAAAGAGUUGCGUAGGUGGCAUAAUAAGUAGAUAGUAAAAACUGGUGGCUCACCCAUUCAGACGAUUAGAGAAACGGUUAAGCUGGAGAACGUGAGGGGUAACUGGAAUUGCUAGUGUAGGAGUGAAAUCCGUAGAUAUUAGAAGGAACACCAAUGGCGUAGGCAGGUUACUGGGACGGUUCUGACACUAAGGCACGAAAGCGUAGGGAGCAAACGGGAUUAGAUACCCUUGUAGUC
RNAcentral lists this ribosomal RNA (442 nucleotides) under uncultured bacterium. Its description in RNAcentral is "partial 16S ribosomal RNA". It matches the Rfam family "Bacterial small subunit ribosomal RNA", at positions 338 to 795 of the family's 1533-position model. The record is from RNAcentral.